AUUGAACGCUGGCGGCAUGCCUAACACAUGCAAGUCGAACGGAAACGAUGGGAGCUUGCUCCCAGGCGUCGAGUGGCGGACGGGUGAGUAAUGCUUAGGAAUCUGCCCAGUAGUGGGGGACAACCAGGAGAAAUCCUGGCUAAUACCGCAUACGCACUACGGUGGAAAGUGGGGGACCUUCGGGCCUCACGCUAUUGGAUGAGCCUAAGUCGGAUUAGCUUGUUGGUAGGGUAAUGGCCUACCAAGGCGACGAUCCGUAGCUGGUCUGAGAGGACGAUCAGCCACACUGGGACUGAGACACGGCCCAGACUCCUACGGGAGGCAGCAGUGGGGAAUAUUGGACAAUGGGCGCAAGCCUGAUCCAGCAAUGCCGCGUGUGUGAAGAAGGCCUGCGGGUUGUAAAGCACUUUCAGUAGAGAAGAAAAGCCUAGGGUUAAUAACCCUGAGUCUUGACGUAACCUACAGAAGAAGCACCGGCUAACUCCGUG
This 488-nucleotide ribosomal RNA is filed under the name uncultured Gammaproteobacteria bacterium. Its description in RNAcentral is "bacterial SSU rRNA". It matches the Rfam family "Bacterial small subunit ribosomal RNA", at positions 30 to 507 of the family's 1533-position model. Lineage: Bacteria; Pseudomonadati; Pseudomonadota; Gammaproteobacteria. The record is from RNAcentral.